This 750-nucleotide long non-coding RNA is filed under the name Sus scrofa (pig). RNAcentral's name for it is "lncRNA (ENSSSCG00070022576.1)". The record is from RNAcentral. Lineage: Eukaryota; Metazoa; Chordata; Mammalia; Artiodactyla; Suidae.
CGACCACUGCUGAGAGGCGGGCUCCCCCUGUGCCGGCUGGUCCUGUGGCUGAGGAGAUGUCAUGUGGAUGUCCCCGCACGGCCCACUCCUCCUGGACCCACGGGUCACUCUGGUGGCUUCUUGGUAGGACAGAAAAGAGACGUGACAAGUGGUAUUGGGGCCAAGUCGGAAAGGCAGCACGCUGACUGCUCAGAGCUGUUGUUGCACAAUAAUGCUCUGGGCUCAUUCAUUAGGCAGAAGCUCGUGGGGAUGGGCUCUGGGCAGCGCUGGCCUGAAACACGGAAGCCAUCUGCGGACUAAAAGUUUAAGCCUGGAAUGCCAGCUCCCAUUUACGUUCCCCCUCGAGGUCAGGGAGCCACAGGAAAGCGCAAAGGCUGAGGGAGGAGAGGCCCCCCGGAUGGGUCCCGCAUGCCCUUUCUGCCCUGACCUGGAAAAUUCACCUGGAAAACCCACGAGGCUCCCAGGGCAGAUGGCCUCACGUGACCCAGAUGUCAAGCCAUCGCGAUUCCUAGAGGGAGCUUGGCAGGUGAGGUUGGGGGGUGGGGUGGGGGUGGGGCAGGUGGCAAGAGAAAGGGAAAGAGAGGCCACCUGAAGAGGUGGCCACUGGUGGCUGCGAAAGGUCAGCAAAGAAAUGGGGACCAAGCGUCCUGUCUGUACAGAUGAGUUUCCCAAGGCAUCUGGCUUUGCUUUGCAAACACCGGCUGGCUUCCCUGUCAUUUCCGUCCUCUUGCCUUUGGCCUUGGCUCUGAC